RNAcentral lists this ribosomal RNA (468 nucleotides) under uncultured bacterium. RNAcentral's name for it is "partial 16S ribosomal RNA". It matches the Rfam family "Bacterial small subunit ribosomal RNA", at positions 28 to 507 of the family's 1533-position model. The record is from RNAcentral.
GACGAACGCUGGCGGCGUGCUUAAUACAUGCAAGUCGAACGGAAAGGCGAUGCGCUUGCUGGGUGCUCGAGUGGCGAACGGGUGAGUAACACGCGAGUAACCUGCCCUUGAAUUUGGGAGAAAUUCAGGAAACUGGGGCGAAUACCGGAUAGGAGCUCCUGCUGCAUGGUGGGGGUUGGAAAGUUUCGGCGGUUGUGGAUGGACUCGCGGCUUAUCAGCUUGUUGGUGGGGUAGUGGCUUACAAAGGCUUUGACGGGUAGCCGGCCUGAGAGGGUGAACGGGCACCAUGGGCCUGAGGUACGGACCAGACUGCUACCGGAGGCAGCAGUGGGGAGUAUUGCACAAUGAGGCGGCGCGAGUUGCAGCAAUGUCGCGUGCGUGAUGCCGGCCUUCUGGGUGAGAACAGAUGUGGCAUGUAAUGAGGCCGGCGUGACGGUACCGGGUAAAGAAGCACCGGCUAACUACGUG